ACCAGCUCUCCUCACCCUUGAUCUUCCUCAAUUUUGUGUGGGAAGCUUUGCUAAUUGAAAGACUCUUGAGAUUUGGGCAAUAGUAAAAGCUCAUCCAUUCCAUUUCUUGCGCAAUGGAUAACACAUCUGAGAUUCUAUCCAAUUGAGGUAAGAAAUGAAGAGAAAUCUUCUUCAAGGGUAGGUUGAUAUGUUUGAUCUCAUUCUCAGAAUCAAUGCCGCUCACUAAUCUGGUGACUUGGGAGCAAUCUUUAACUGUGAGCUCUUCAAGGCGGGAAAGAUUUGCUAGCAAUCCUGGUGUGAAAAUGGUGGUCA
This 312-nucleotide unclassified non-coding RNA is filed under the name Hevea brasiliensis (rubber tree). The record is from RNAcentral. Lineage: Eukaryota; Viridiplantae; Streptophyta; Magnoliopsida; Malpighiales; Euphorbiaceae.